RNAcentral lists this ribosomal RNA (496 nucleotides) under uncultured bacterium. RNAcentral's name for it is "partial 16S ribosomal RNA". It matches the Rfam family "Bacterial small subunit ribosomal RNA", at positions 29 to 507 of the family's 1533-position model. The record is from RNAcentral.
AUGAACGCUGGCGGCGUGCCUAAUACAUGCAAGUCGAGCGAACAGACGAGGAGCUUGCUCCUUUGACGUUAGCGGCGGACGGGUGAGUAACACGUGGGUAACCUACCUAUAAGACUGGGAUAACUUCGGGAAACCGGAGCUAAUACCGGAUAAUAUUUCGAACCGCAUGGUUCGAUAGUGAAAGAUGGCUUUGCUAUCACUUAUAGAUGGACCUGCGCCGUAUUAGCUAGUUGGUAAGGUAACGGCUUACCAAGGCAACGAUACGUAGCCGACCUGAGAGGGUGAUCGGCCACACUGGAACUGAGACACGGUCCAGACUCCUACGCGAGGCAGCAGUAGGGAAUCUUCCGCAAUGGGCGAAAGCCUGACGGAGCAACGCCGCGUGAGUGAUGAAGGUCUUCGGAUCGUAAAACUCUGUUAUUAGGGAAGAACAAACGUGUAAGUAACUGUGCACGUCUUGACGGUACCUAAUCAGAAAGCCACGGCUAACUACGUG